UCGGGGGGGGGUCACCGCCCUACGGGGCGGAGCUUAGCGUGAAGGGGGCGGGGCCGGGUGGGCGGAAGGGACCAAUCCCGGCCCUGCGCGGGACACUUAAGCCUCCCCCCGGCUCCGCAGCGGAGGGGUCCGGGCUAAGCGCCUGCGGCUACUCCGUUAAACCCCGUGGGGGGCGGAGCGGUCGCGGGGCUCCUGAAUUGCACGUAGGAAACAACAUUUCCGCUUCAAGUUAGCCCGGGUCUCCCAUACAGGCUGCACCGACCGUCCGCGUUUCGGAAACGGAGGCGAAAAAGCCGGUUUUUAUCCGAAUUUCGGCGACGCACCCCCCCCGGUUCGCAGCGGCGUGGAAAAGAAAGACUGUUGUUCCCCUCAGCGAAGUUUCCCUUCGGAGAGGCAACGGGAGACGCGACUGCAGCUGAGGUUUUUCCCUGCUUCUGCACAACAAAACUUGCUCCCGUUAUCGGUUUGGACUCCACUUUUGCAGAAGAUUGAGAAAUACGUGAUUUUCUUAAUUUUUUUCGUACUCUGCAGUGACUGAUUCCUGCACUGGAAGCAAUAUUAGAACUAGGAUAUGAGGCUGAUGUAUGUGCUGUACUGAAACAACUGGCUGCAAGCAAGAGGGGGAAGUCCUCACGUGCACUUAAGCAAGACCACACGAAAACAGAUUAAAACUAAAAGCAUUUUAUUUUUUGGAGUAGAGAGAAUUGAAAGAAAAAUUCUCUGAUAUUUUCCUUAUUGCCUACAACCCUUUGUUUUGCCAGAGGCCUGUAAACUGCUUAUUCCCUCUUGACAUUGUGACUGUUAGUGGUACAAAAAUGUUGUGUGGUGUUAUGAUUAAAGAAAUCUGUUUUCAAAUGAA
Strigops habroptila (Kakapo) is the source of this 859-nucleotide long non-coding RNA. RefSeq lists it as uncharacterized. The record is from RefSeq and is a predicted model, not a curated record. Lineage: Eukaryota; Metazoa; Chordata; Aves; Psittaciformes; Psittacidae. The transcript is spliced from 3 exons.